GACCCGUCUUGAAACACGGACCAAGAAGUCUAUCUUGCGCGCAAGUCAAUGGGAGUAGCAAACCCAAAGGCGAAGAUAACACAACUGCAAAGUCGUUGCGGGAUUACGGGUGCACCACAGUCCGCAAGGACUGGCUAGCUGUGCCGCCCCUCCAUCCCCGGGUGUUUAGCAACGGAUCUGUAGUGCCGCGGACCCCCCGCCGGGGUGGGCAUUUGCAGAGCCAACGCGACAUACCGCGAGCGCGCAGGAUGUGACCCGAAAGAUGGUGAACUAUGCCUGAUCAGGUUGAAGUCAGGGGAAACCCUGAUGGAGGACCGAAGCAAUUCUGACGUGCAAAUCGAUUGUCAGAGUUGGGCAUAGGGGCGAAAGACCAAUCGAACCAUCUAGUAGCUGGUUCCUUCCGA
Molecule: ribosomal RNA, 404 nt
Filed under: Anopheles liangshanensis
Lineage: Eukaryota; Metazoa; Arthropoda; Insecta; Diptera; Culicidae
Also listed under: 1 other name
Description: eukaryotic LSU rRNA
Rfam family: Eukaryotic large subunit ribosomal RNA
Source: RNAcentral